CCUACGGGAUGCAGCAGUAGGGAAUCUUCCGCAAUGGACGAAAGUCUGACGGAGCAACGCCGCGUGAGUGAUGAAGGCUUUCGGGUCGUAAAACUCUGUUGUUAGGGAAGAACAAGUGCUAGUUGAAUAAGCUGGCACCUUGACGGUACCUAAUCAGGAAGCCACGGCUAACUACGUGCCAGCAGCCGCGGUUAUACGUGGGUGGCAAGCGUUAUCCGGAAUUAUUGGGCGUAAAGCGCGCGCAGGUGGUUUCUUAAGUCUGAUGUGAAAGCCCACGGCUCAACCGUGGAGGGUCAUUGGAAACUGGGAGACUUGAGUGCAGAAGAGGAAAGUGGAAUUCCAUGUGUAGCGGUGAAAUGCGUAGAGAUAUGGAGGAACACCAGUGGCGAAGGCGACUUUCUGGUCUGUAACUGACUCUGAGGCGCGAAAGCGUGGGGAGCAAACAGGAUUAGAUACCCCAGUAGUC
This 466-nucleotide ribosomal RNA is filed under the name uncultured bacterium. RNAcentral's name for it is "bacterial SSU rRNA". It matches the Rfam family "Bacterial small subunit ribosomal RNA", at positions 338 to 795 of the family's 1533-position model. The record is from RNAcentral.